AGAACAUGACUGACCGUCCAACCCAACACCAUGGUCCGGAAGCGCUAUGUGAGAAGCUAGGGACGAUUCAGUCAGAGUCGCGAAAUUUACUCCACGACCUUGACCAGUACAUCCACUAACUCGUCCCGCUGCGUCAAGGCACAAGGCUUUGCAACCCGUACCUAGAGUUAGCGUUUUCCGUUAGAUCGAGGCCUAAGGCUUUUCAACCCGUACUACGACCUAACAUUGUCUUAGACUGGACUAGUCAAAUAUUAGAGUACUCAUGAUACGCAUAUAAAAUGAUUACUUUAUUGAUUUAAGAAAUAUUCAUACAUUGAAUAAUUCGAGACUGGGCCCGCCCUAAUGCCAAAUCGAACCAACUAAACAAAUAACUCAAUACCGUUUACAAAAGCCAUGAAAAUCUACACCGGCGGUCCUAAAGUCCAGCACCAAGCUAUCCGAUCAUCCUUACCUAGACCUGCAAAAAGGACAACAGAGUUGGAUGAGUAACCUAAUGUUACUCAGUGAAUUAUGAUCCCCAUCUAACAAAUACAACUCCUCGCUAUCCCACCCCAAACAAUCUAAAGCGAGAGGUUCACCUAAUAGCACAAUUCCAUAACAACAAGCAAUAUCCAAAAUACUCAGUGGAUAAUAAUAGCAAGAUAAUUAACGAUAUGAAAUCAUAACCGCUAAUGACUAGCUAACCACUUAAACUCAAACUCAACUAAAUCUAGGGUUCAACAACCCUCUACAGUAUCUACACUAUAACUAGGGCCCUUUGUGACUUAGUGUUCCUCCUCUAUCCUCGGCAAUAUCCUAUCACCCUACCACAAAGGCCAGAAGAAGGAACUUUCAACCGAACGCGGUCCACAGU
Molecule: long non-coding RNA, 853 nt
Filed under: Brassica napus (rape)
Lineage: Eukaryota; Viridiplantae; Streptophyta; Magnoliopsida; Brassicales; Brassicaceae
Description: long non-coding RNA (BNAP_LNC017127)
Source: RNAcentral